UAGAUGUCCCCAGCAGUGAGCAGGGCGGUCCGGAUCUUCUCUGCCACAGCGGUCAUCUGCCGAGACUCGCCCACAGUCAGCAGGUCAAUCACUGGCAGGCAAGGGUCAUCAAGUAGUGCCUCCCCACCGGGUCUGGGAGCCCGCGGGCCCGAGGCUCUCUUGCAAAUACAGAAACGGCGCCCGGCAACCUUGAGAUGCCCCCACCAGGUGGCGCAAGGGAGCCACCGUGCUGAUCCCAGGCAGAAGUAGCACCUGGUGCCCACAGCACAGAACUGGAAAAGCAGUUUCUCUUUAUGCUGCUGCGUUUGGCUGCUUCCACACCCAGAUGCCCCUCCUCCCAUCCUGGGGGCUCAGCACACUCACUUUGGAUGAGAAGAGCUGCCCACUGAGGGCUCCAACCCUCCUGUCUGCCUCUCCCCCUCGGGAAUGUAGGACCGGGCUCCUGUG
Molecule: long non-coding RNA, 447 nt
Organism: Herpailurus yagouaroundi (jaguarundi)
Lineage: Eukaryota; Metazoa; Chordata; Mammalia; Carnivora; Felidae
Exons: 2
Source: RefSeq, a predicted model, not a curated record